Biomphalaria glabrata is the source of this 59-nucleotide non-coding RNA. NCBI's taxonomy places the organism in Eukaryota, Metazoa, Mollusca, Gastropoda, Planorbidae. The record is from Rfam.
AUGGCUGAGCGGUAAAGGGCUUGGCUUCCGAACCAGGGGUUCCAGGUUCGAAUCCUGGU